This 1976-nucleotide long non-coding RNA is filed under the name Elaeis guineensis (African oil palm). RNAcentral describes it as "long non-coding RNA (EGUI_LNC034140)". Lineage: Eukaryota; Viridiplantae; Streptophyta; Magnoliopsida; Arecales; Arecaceae. The record is from RNAcentral.
UGAGAGGUCAUGAUAUAUUGCUGAUGUCAAUCUUGACUUGUAGGUAUUUAUAAAUUAAAGAGUUUAAUUCAUGAAUCAAUUAGAAAGAGUUCUAAUUGAUCAACUUGGGUUGACAUGAAUUGGACCUAAAUUGAUCGGAAGGAUUUCAAUUAAAUUAGGUCAAUAUACAUCUAGACCUGCUGCUAGCUAGAUGUAGAACCCAAUGGGUCACACAUGUAAUGAAUUUGAUUAAAGAUCUAUUUGGAAUAAGUCAUGGAUCAUUGGAUCCAAAUUGGAUUGCUAAUUGGCAUGCUAGCAUAUGUGGCUAACCCUAACUCUUAAAUCAAAAUAGAUUUGGUUUGAAAUCUUAUUUAUAUGGUUAACCUAAUUGAGUAUGAGUUGGAUUAGAUCAAGUUAUGGAGGGGCAGCCAAACGUUGGCGCCUCCAAGCCUCAACUCAUGUCCAUUUGAUUGAGUCCCAAGCGAUUGAGACUCUAUCUAGUAUUAGGUGCAACAAUAUGUGGCACCAAUUCAUUUUUGGUGUGGAGAAAGGACUAUAGUCCUUUUGACAUGGGAUUAAGACCCAUGUGGCACCUCUCAGGUCUAUCAAAAUAAAUUUGGUUUGAAAUCUUAUUUACAUGGUUAACCUAAUUGAGUAUGACUUGGAUUAGAUCAAGUUAUGGAGGGGCAGCCAAACAUUGGUGCCUCCAAGCCUCACUCACGUCCAUUUGAUUGAGUCCCAAGCGAUUGAGACUCUAUCUAGUAUUAGGUGCAACAAUAUGUGGCGCCAAUUCAUUUUUGGUGUGGAGAAAGGACUACAGUCUUUUUGACAUGGGAUUAAGACCCAUGUGGCACCUCUCAGGUCUAUCCUCACACCCACAUGUCAGAGUCCCAAGUGCCUGAGACUUAUCCAAAAUGGGCGCAACAAAUUUUUGGGUGCAUGUUAUGUUUUGGCAUGAAUAAGGAUUAAGAGUCCUUCUGCUUUGGGUCUCUGACCCAUGUGGUGCUCCAGCACUCUCUCUCUCCCCUUCCACACCUAUGGAUGGCUUUUGACCUUGUCCACGCCCUUUGGGUGGCAUGGAGCAGAUUUGUUCUGAAGAGAUGUGGUGGAAAAUUCUCAAAGGUGGCGCUAAGAGUCCUUCUACCUUACGCAAAUUGGUUGGCACCCCUUCAUCUCUUCUCACGCCCAUCAAAUGAGAUUUUUGAUCAAGUUAAAUACCACAUGACAUAGCAUGAAAGGUUUAUCAGCAAGAAAGGGUCAUAUAUACGACCUUUUGCUCCCGAAACAACGUUUCUUCGAAAGAAACAUUGCUCCCUUGACCCUUGGAGUCCUUCUGCUUGAAGGAACUAAUCUAAAUUCUAUGGAAUUAGAUUAUGGGGUGUGAGGACUUGGGAUGCAUUGCUUUGGGUGGCACCUCCUCUCUUCCUAUAAAUAGGGUUCAUUCGAUGAGUCCAAGACAAUCAAAAUUAAAUCCAAAACCAAUUCUCUUCCUUCUCUUGUUAAGUCAAGUCUUCUCUAGUUAAAACAAAUCUUUUCUAAUUGAGGCAAGUCAAGUAUCUUUAAAACAAGCACAGGAAAGAAAACAGGAAAAGGAUUAGAGAGAGGAAAGGGAGAAUUAAGCAAGAAAUAGGAAUGUUUUAGGAGAUCCUUGAGGAGGGUUUGAUCUUAGAGAGGCUAAAAGAAUUCUUAGAGGAAGAAUUCAGCAACAAGAUUCCUUGAAGGAGUGUCCUUGAUCAAGUACAGUAGGGAUCACCAUUGGAGGGCAAAUACUUGGGUGCCUUGUGGAAAUCGAUCAACCUAUACAGAUAUGCUUCUGAACAAAAAUGUUUAAAGUUUAGCUUUGAUUAUGAUCAUAAGGGGCUUUUAGAUUCUAGGGUUCGAUUGUCAUGGUGUUCAUUAAAAAGAAAUUUUUUGAACAUCACCCUUUCGCCACCAUACUGCAACCCUACAGUGGUAUUAGAGCCUCCCUUGAUUGAUUCAAUCAAAAGUCUUAAUGA